GAGGGACAGUGGAAGGAGUGUCUGAAGUUUGAGGCAGCGCUCUCAUGACCAGGGACUUGAAGCUUGAAAACUCGUUUCUCAAGUCAGUGUAUUCUUUUCUCAAUGCACGGUUUUCUUGGUCACGUUGCUCUAGUAGCUAUGUCAAGCGCUGGAUGGCCUCGUCAGCAGAAGGGGUGGAAGAAGAAGAAGGUUGAUGCUUCAGUGUACCUCCUCUCGAUGCUGUAUAGUUUGCAGCAAGUUGUCCUGCACCAUAGACUCGUCCCUUUUUCUUCCCACCAAC
Molecule: long non-coding RNA, 280 nt
Filed under: Vigna radiata
Lineage: Eukaryota; Viridiplantae; Streptophyta; Magnoliopsida; Fabales; Fabaceae
Description: long non-coding RNA (VRAD_LNC008303)
Source: RNAcentral